Molecule: ribosomal RNA, 303 nt
Filed under: Dikerogammarus villosus
Lineage: Eukaryota; Metazoa; Arthropoda; Malacostraca; Amphipoda; Gammaridae
Description: partial 16S ribosomal RNA
Source: RNAcentral
CGGUAUUUUGACCGUGCUAAGGUAGCAUAAUCAAUUGUUUUUUAAUUGAAAACUAGCAUGAACGGUUUAAUUAAUUUAAUUAGUUUGUAAAUUUUAAUAGUAAAUUAAAUAUAAAGUAAUAAUUCUUUAAUACAUUAGGGGACGAUAAGACCCUAAAAGCUUUAUGAAAAGUAUUUAAUUGGUGUUAGUGGUAAUAUUAAUUCACUGGGGCAGUGAAUUUAUUUGUAUUAAAAAAAAAUUAAGGGGUCCUUUAAAUAAAGAUUUUAUGUGUAAGUUACUUUAGGGGUAACAGUGCAAUAUAUU